RNAcentral lists this ribosomal RNA (253 nucleotides) under uncultured prokaryote. Its description in RNAcentral is "partial 16S ribosomal RNA". It matches the Rfam family "Bacterial small subunit ribosomal RNA", at positions 524 to 776 of the family's 1533-position model. The record is from RNAcentral.
UACGUAGGGGCCGAGCGUUGUCCGGAGUUACUGGGCGUAAAGCGCGCGCAGGCGGUCUUCUAAGCCCGGCGUGAAAGCCCCCGGCUCAACCGGGGAGGGUCGUCGGGGACUGGGGGACUUGAGGACGGCAGGGGCUGGUGGAAUCCCCGGUGUAGUGGUGAAAUGCGUAGAGAUCGGGGGGAACACCCGUGGCGAAGGCGGCCAGCUGGGCCGGUCCUGACGCUGAGGCGCGAAGGCGUGGGGAGCGAACGGG